GCAGUAAAUGUGACACAAACAUGACUAUAAAGUGAACUAUUAAAUCAAAUAACCACUGUUUGUUUUUCUUCCUCUUUAGAACAGCUUUCUGUUAUUAUAGCAUCUGUGCUCGUGUAAGGUACAGAUGCUACUAUGGUAAGUAAAUGGAUUCUACUUUAUUUUAUCCAGCAAUCACUGGGAUUUAUUAUUUUCAAUCAGGGCACAAAUUGUUUAUCAGUGUAACUCUGCGAGGCUUCAAUGGCACAGUGGGUGGUGCUGGGCUGCA
Long non-coding RNA from Polyodon spathula (Mississippi paddlefish), 265 nucleotides. RefSeq lists it as uncharacterized. The transcript is spliced from 3 exons. NCBI's taxonomy places the organism in Eukaryota, Metazoa, Chordata, Actinopteri, Acipenseriformes, Polyodontidae. The record is from RefSeq and is a predicted model, not a curated record.